This 110-nucleotide ribosomal RNA is filed under the name Caerostris darwini. The record is from RNAcentral. Lineage: Eukaryota; Metazoa; Arthropoda; Arachnida; Araneae; Araneidae.
ACGGCCAUACCAUGCUGAAUAUACCGGUUCUCAUUAGAUCACCGAAGUCAAGCAUCAUUGGGCGCGGUCAGUACUGGGAUGGGUGACCACCUGGGAACCGCGUGCCGUUG